RNAcentral lists this ribosomal RNA (254 nucleotides) under uncultured bacterium. RNAcentral describes it as "partial 16S ribosomal RNA". It matches the Rfam family "Bacterial small subunit ribosomal RNA", at positions 524 to 776 of the family's 1533-position model. The record is from RNAcentral.
UACGAAGGGGGCUAGCGUUGUUCGGAAUUACUGGGCGUAAAGGGCUCGUAGGCGGCCAACUAAGUCAGACGUGAAAUCCCUCGGCUUAACCGGGGAACUGCGUCUGAUACUGGAUGGCUUGAGUGUGGGAGAGGGAUGCGGAAUUCCAGGUGUAGCGGUGAAAUGCGUAGAUAUCUGGAGGAACACCGGUGGCGAAGGCGGCAUCCUGGACCACGACUGACGCUGAGUGAGCGAAAGCCAGGGGAGCAAACGGG